AAUUUGGACCAUCAUUGUUAGAGUGGGACAGUGGGUUAAAGAUGCUGUUUUCAUGGAGAAGGUCCCUGUGAUACAGACGAUUCAACGCCUGCUAUUGUACGCAACGGAAAAUUUACUAUAUACUAUUUGCGGGUUCACUGUUCUGCCGAGCCGGUUAUGGGUCAAAAGACCUGUGUAUCGUUUCAAAGCUUUCGUGUCUUUGUUCUUCGCGUCACACAAUUUGUGUUUCUCUUGCUUUGACAUCUGGGCUGCUGCUCAGUGCUGUCGUGUCUAUGAUAGCUCACUCGACCGAGAGGUAGAUAGACAGAGAGCUUCAGUUUGAGAGAGAAAUAGCGCGAGAGAAAGAGAGAGAGCUCCAGACUGUGUUCUAUCUAUCUAGGGACAGAGAGACAGUUUGAGACUGAAGAAGAGGGAGACGGGAAGAAGUUGAUGGUCGAUUUGAACAGAAAUUGAGUGAACUGAUCAUCCCAGGUGUGGCGUGAAACAUCCAAUUCCAGAGUUAUUGUUCAUGCAUGGAGACAUGGAUUGCUUCUACAUUCAAGGGGUUUCUGGGUUAUUGGCUUAACCUUCAGGUGGAGGUGUGUUGAGACAGGCAGGAGAGCUGCUGUUUCUGGUGUUUGAGGUUUCACAUGCUACUAUAAUUGUUGCUGCAAUUGAUUUAUUUGUUGUAAGAAAUCGGUCUGCAAGGUGUGAAGAAAAGGAGAAGCUUGAAUCUGUAAAUCAAGGAAAAUUUGGGUAUAGCAAGAAGGAAGAUCUGGAAUUACCAUUGUUUUUUAUUUGUCUGCUUAUUCGUCAGAAACCAAACACAAUUAGAUAUCGGGAACAGCAAGCUAUCAAAGUUUACAAGUAUUUUGAAUUCAGGAAAAUUUGGGUACAGCAAGAAGGAAACUGGGAAAAGAGAUGAAAUAGGCAAUUGUUUUGAGCAGGAGAUGAAUGACAACCAAAAAGAUGAAGUCAUUUGCGAGGGAAGCAAACACAUGAAGUGGUCUGCCAGUGAUAUGUUACAGGCUUCAUGUCACCAUUGAAGAUCCAAACAGUGAAGCCACAAUAAAACUUAGAGGAAAACAAGCUGAACAGUUAUUCGGAAUAACUUGCAAAGAACUCUUGAACAAGUGCCCCUAUGCACCACAAGAAACAUUGCCACCAGAGAUAUUACAAACACGGGCAGAUCCAUGUUUUCCAAAUUCAAAUCACUGAGACAAAUCUUUCCAAACACAGAUCAUCAACCAGGUACCAGCACACCAGCUCAUCCACUGUAUGAAAAAAAAAUCGGUUGAUAGAAGCAAGAAACAAUUGUUUGCUACCAAUCAAGAGAAAAAACCCCGCUGUGAUACACAGACAAGCACUGAAUCAGCAGCCUCAACACCAGACACUCUGAACAAAGAAAAAAUUGAUUGAAGUGUCAUGUCGCUUUUCAUGUAAAUACAGACGGAGGAAACACCUUUUUGAACAACCUCCACAACUACUUACCACCUUUUUGGCUAGGCUAACAACUCUUCAACAACUGCUGUCACUUUUGGUAUAAAUGUAACUGGAGGAAGCACCAUUUUGAAGAACCUCCCGCUAGGUUAGCCUAUAAGUAGAACAGUAUAUUUUUGACAAGUUGUGUCAACCACAGUUGUAUUGUAUAUUUGCACAUUAUCAAAACAUUCAUAUUGAUGAUAAUGUUAGUUGAAAACAUAAAUCUCUAGCCAUCCAAACUUGCAAAUUUUGUUUCAACACCCGCAGCAACGCGUGGGCACCCAGUAAUGAAUUAUAGUACACGUGGUGAUUUAGGUUGAUGUUAUUGGCUCAUAUAACUUGUAAUUAUUUUUUAUUUGUUGAAUGAUA
This is a long non-coding RNA of Rosa chinensis, 1830 nucleotides long. RefSeq lists it as uncharacterized. The record is from RefSeq and is a predicted model, not a curated record. The transcript has 10 exons. NCBI's taxonomy places the organism in Eukaryota, Viridiplantae, Streptophyta, Magnoliopsida, Rosales, Rosaceae.